This 916-nucleotide ribosomal RNA is filed under the name uncultured organism. RNAcentral's name for it is "bacterial SSU rRNA". It matches the Rfam family "Bacterial small subunit ribosomal RNA", at positions 524 to 1434 of the family's 1533-position model. The record is from RNAcentral.
UACAGAGGUGGCAAGCGUUGUUCCGAUUUACUGGGCGUAAAAGGGUUGCGUAAGGCGUUUGCGUGUGUCGGAUGUGAAAAUCUCACUGUUCAUCGGUGAAACUGCAUUCGAAACUACGUAACUCGAGUACUGGAGAGGAGAGCGGAGUUCUUGGUGUAGCGGUGAAAUGCGUUGAGAUCAAGAAGAACGCCGGUGGCGAAGGCGGCUCUCUGGACAGAAACUGACGCUGAGGCACGAAAGCUAGGGGAGCAAACAGGAUUAGAUACCCUGGUAGUCCUAGCCGUAAACGUUGUGCACUUGGUGUGGGAGGAGUUUACCCCUUCCGUGCCGUAGCUAACGUGUUAAGUGCACCGCCUGGGGAGUACGGCCGCAAGGCUAAAACUCAAGGAAAUUGACGGGGGCCCGCACAAGCGGUGGAGCAUGUGGCUUAAUUCGAUGCAACGCGAAGAACCUUACCUGGGCUUGACAUGGCGAGACUUCGGUCUAAACCGGUGAAAGUCGGUUGAACGCACACAGGUGCUGCAUGGCUGUCGUCAGCUCGUGCCGUGAGGUGUUGGGUUAAGUCCCGCAACGAGCGCAACCCUUGUGGGUAGUUGCCACCCCCGUUCUGCGGGGAGCACUCUACUCAGACUGCCCGUGACAAGCGGGAGGAAGGUGGGGAUGACGUCAAGUCCGUAUGGCCCUUAUGCCCAGGGCUGCACACGUGCUACAAUGGUCGGUACAGAAAGAUGCAAGACCGCGAGGUGGAGCAAAUCUCCAAAACCGGCCCCAGUUCGGAUUGCAGUCUGCAACUCGACUGCAUGAAGCCGGAAUCGCUAGUAACGGCGUAUCAGCUACGACGCCGUGAAUACGUUCCCGGGCGUUGUACACACCGCCCGUCACAUCAUGAAAGCCGAUUGUACCCGAAGUCGUCGAU